This 465-nucleotide ribosomal RNA is filed under the name Vreelandella stevensii. Its description in RNAcentral is "partial 16S ribosomal RNA". It matches the Rfam family "Bacterial small subunit ribosomal RNA", at positions 338 to 795 of the family's 1533-position model. The record is from RNAcentral. Lineage: Bacteria; Pseudomonadati; Pseudomonadota; Gammaproteobacteria; Oceanospirillales; Halomonadaceae.
CCUACGGGAGGCAGCAGUGGGGAAUAUUGGACAAUGGGCGAAAGCCUGAUCCAGCCAUGCCGCGUGUGUGAAGAAGGCCUUCGGGUUGUAAAGCACUUUCAGUGGGGAAGAAAGCCUUGGGGCUAAUACCCUCGAGGAAGGACAUCACCCACAGAAGAAGCACCGGCUAACUCCGUGCCAGUAGCCGCGGUAAUACGGAGGGUGCGAGCGUUAAUCGGAAUUACUGGGCGUAAAGCGCGCGUAGGCGGUCUGAUAAGCCGGUUGUGAAAGCCCCGGGCUCAACCUGGGAACGGCAUCCGGAACUGUCAGGCUAGAGUGCAGGAGAGGAAGGUAGAAUUCCCGGUGUAGCGGUGAAAUGCGUAGAGAUCGGGAGGAAUAUCAGUGGCGAAGGCGGCCUUCUGGACUGACACUGACGCUGAGGUGCGAAAGCGUGGGUAGCAAACAGGAUUAGAUACCCCUGUAGUC